UACGUAGGGCGCAAGCGUUGUCCGGAAUUAUUGGGCGUAAAGAGCUCGUAGGUGGUUUGUCGCGUCUGCUGUGAAAACUCGGGGCUCAACUCCGAGCUUGCAGUGGGUACGGGCAGACUAGAGUGCGGUAGGGGAGACUGGAAUUCCUGGUGUAGCGGUGGAAUGCGCAGAUAUCAGGAGGAACACCGGUGGCGAAGGCGGGUCUCUGGGCCGUAACUGACGCUGAGGAGCGAAAGCAUGGGGAGCGAACAGG
This 253-nucleotide ribosomal RNA is filed under the name uncultured bacterium. Its description in RNAcentral is "partial 16S ribosomal RNA". It matches the Rfam family "Bacterial small subunit ribosomal RNA", at positions 524 to 776 of the family's 1533-position model. The record is from RNAcentral.